GACUUUCUCGACUCGUCGUCAGCCGGGGCCGCAGCGCGGCCGGUGGGGACUGCGGGGCGGGCCGGAGUCCGUCCGAGGGCUCCCGCACCUCGGGCUGCGGGUGAGUCGGCUUUAGGCGCCGUGGGCUCAAGUGGUUUAGGGCACCUGGGCUUGGGAAGAAGUCGUGGAGAGAGCCUUUAAUACUUUAUGGAGCUGGCGGGGAGAACAAAUAAAAUUGCGGUAGCUUGAAGGGCACUGACAUGCCACUGACUUGGGAACCGUAUCCGUGGGAACUCUUCGGGUGCCGGCGCGACCAAGGGCCUGUGCGCGGCUGGGUGGGAGAUGGAAAGGUUAGAAGGUCGCGGACUAGCCCUGCCUGCGACUGGCUCAGCUUGACCUUGGACCAGUGACUUUACCACUUAGAUUUUUCUCGUGGGUAAUAUGUGGGGCCACAGCAACGUGGUCUAUGCUGUCGUCCAGUUUUUAGACUACAUCUCCGUUUUUGAGAUUUUCCUAGGGCCUCAACACGGUGCGCGAGUUAUCAAGCGAUAGGCCAGGAUAUGUUUACAUGCGCCUGGAUUCACCUUUCAGCCUACUCAGAAGUAACUUUUAAGUCUGAUGUUUUAAAACACUAACAUUUAAAGGCUUUCCUUCACUAUCCAUUGCUUAUUUUACGAACCUUAGGAUUGUCGUAUUUUGCUGCACCAUUUGGAAUCCUAGGGGCCAGGGUGGGGACAGAGAGCCAAGUCUGAGGGUGAAGUGGCAGGUGCCCCCGGGCGAUCCCUGCCGGAUCCAGUUGAGGGGGAGAACAAAGCAUUUAUUAUGCAUAAGAGAGAGUGAACAGGGCAGGUGUUUGUGUUUUUGUUUUCUGUAUUAUACUGAAAACUUUUUUUGGUUGGGGGGGUGCGGGCAGUGGAGGAGGGGACAAAGAAGAAAAAGAAAUGUCAAAAAAGAGAGGAAAAUGUCACUUAUACCCAAAGUAAAUCUUAAAACUAAUGUAAGUCUUCCUUACAGGAACAGCAACACAUAAUGCAAGUACAUCUUGAUCUAAUUUUAAUGAAGGAUUGAAAAUAGCUACUGUGUUCAGUAUUACUGACGCCAAGGCAGCUCACUUACAUAAUCUUCUUUGUUGAGAUGUGUUAGUGGCAUGUAUAAUUUUGAUAAAUAAUUAAUGUUAAAGGUUUAGUCCGGCAAUGGUAUUGAAAUAUUGUCGUCACAGAUUGUAUUGCAAGACAAUGGUGUGUAAACUUUUGGUUAUCAUGAUAACCUGCAUUUUUUUCUCUAAACAGUAAAAUCACACAUUUUUCAUAACCAAAAUUCUCUUAAAUAAUGCAUGUGUACUUUGUCAGUAGUGUAUACAGGAGAAAUUAUUUUGUUCUGUAAAUGACAAAGUCUUUCAGUUUUCUCACCAUUUCAUGAGAGUGAAUUCUAGAUUUCAGGUACUCCACUGGGCAUUUUCUCUUCAUGGAGCUUAUAGCAACAAAAGUGUUUUACAAAAGUAAGUGCAUAAGUAUAGAUACUCAACCAAUAUUUGCUGAAUAAAAUACUCAGAUGACAAUAAUUAAAAGUCCAUCUUGUUCAUCCUUAAAGAGAAUGAUGAUCAUGCUUUAGUGGAGAGAAUGAAAGUAUCAAAGAAAGAACUGGCAGAAAAACAGAGCUUAGUUCCAGUAUCUAGCCUAAAUGUUUAUGCUUUAAAACAGGUAUACGCAUUUGAAAAGAGACAAAGACAAGUGAUAGGGUUUCUAGGAGAAAGAUAGCAGUAUUGAUUUAACGUAGUACAUUUUAUGACCUAGUUUUGUUUGAAGAACACGAACGUUUGUAAAGGUAUAUUUCUUAAAUAAUCAGUAGCUGUUUGCAUUGUGAUUGGAUGUCUAAUUAAAUGGCCUAAUCGUAACCAUAAUAUCUCACUUGAAUGCUGUUUUUAAAUUCAUUUUUAAAAUAGCUUGAAAUAAACCAAUUUAGUUACAUGAAGGAAAGUAUACCUUUUGAAAUCAAAAUCCACAGUGAGGAAAAAUUAUUGUCAGUGUAUCACCAAAUGUAAAUUAAGCACUGGAAGUAGCAUCUUGCCAAGAAGGUCUUCACUCUAGACAAUCACUUUGUGUAGAAGAGGUAUAAUGUGGAAUGUGGACUGCAGUGAGAGAUGCCCUUAUUCCUCUGAGGGUCUAUUUGGUGACAUCAGGAAAAUACUAACGCCCCCCCACCACUUCACCAUUUGUAAACCUGGCAACUUCUGGAAAGCCUAGUGGCCUUAUUUCAAAGUAACCACUCAACCUAGAACUUAGCAUUGAUAUUUGAACAGGCUAUUUUUGUAGAAUAUGGGUUCUCCUCUGUGCAGAUUUGCUGGCUGGGCUAUCUUGUAAGAGAUCACAGCAGUUUAUCUCAGAGUGUAGUCCUUAGAUCACCUGUGUCAGAAUCACCUGUAGUGCUUACAAAACUUCAAAAUCCUGGGCACAUCCCACAUUUACAUAAUCAGAAUGUCUGUGAACAGAACCUAGAAUUUCUGUUCAUAAAACCCAUUUAUGCCUAGUGUUCCAUUAUUGGAAUGCUGAGCUUGUGGGAGUUAUUUAUAUCCUACGGCUCGAGGUCAUUGCCAAGGUCUGAUUUUUCGCAAAAAAAUGUGCAACCUCUGGCAUAAAUGGGUUAAUGAACUCCUUCAGAAGUGAGAGUUAAUUACACUAAAUUUUAAGAAUUAGUGUUAGAGUUUUCUUGCCACAGUUGUAAUGCUCAUGUUGCUUUCUUCCAGGAACAUUAAAAUCUCCCCAGAUGCUCACUGCUCUGAUCAUUUCCCCUACAGCACCAGACAUGUUGGCAUCAUCUCUUAGUUGGGCCAUGUGGCCAGGGAACCCUUCAUGAAACCACCUCUGCAGUCCUGGAGAGUUGCUGUAGAAGAAGGAAAAGAGAGGAAGACAACACAACACAGGAGGGGAUAAGUACCUCUGGACACAAUGGAAGUAGUAGUUGUUGAGCAGAGGGAAAGGGAUAGGAGAAGGAUGUGGACUGCAGUGCUGCAGUGCCAGGUAAUAACUUUGAUCAUGUACCUCCUUGGCUCAGGUGCUGUCUCUUCUACUCUCCUCCUUACUUGUACUACCUUAUUUAGCACUUAAUUAUAUACUUUCUUGACUCACUUUGAGACACACUGAUUAUGUGGUCUGCCUCAAAGACAGAAUCCUAGUUUUGGAUUUUAGCAUUACUGAUCUAUAGCCUUGCAGGGGCUUAAGGAUGGCAGCUGUCUCUCUCCCUUGGGAUCUAGCUUUUGCAAAUAUUGAAGGGAAGAGAUUUCUUUGAUCUUAUAGGAAUAGAUCCACAGUUCCUCUCCAGAUUUGCUUUUAUAGAGAAGUGUGUGUCACCAAAACAAUGGAGAUACGGUCAGAGAGGCCCCUACCCCCAGAAUUUUAAUAUAAUUUUACUUUCUGGGGCAUUUAUUCUUGACAAAUACUUUCUCUCCUAUCAGCUCACUUGUUCCUCACAAAAACCCUAUAAGAUAUUAAUAUUAUUAAACAGACCCCUAUGAAGCACCUCAAGUCUUUCUCUCUUCCCACUUCCAUUCUUGCACACCUUUUGCUAGACUAGUCUCUGCGUUCAUCACAUCAGGUUUCUAAAAUAAAAGUCCCCUAAUAACUUUCUAUUUGUUCUCUCAUCAUAUUGAACCUUUUUUGCCUGGCUUAUAAGGUGGCCUUAAAACCCCAUUUUCCUCUAAACAUUGUCUCUGUAGUUCAGGAAUAUGGCAGGCUCAACACUAUGCUUGAGCCCAUAUUGCUUCCCUCAUUAGUGAUGCCUCCUCUCAGACCACCCAGAUUCUACUCAUUCUUCAAUUUCCAGCUUCUCCUUGGAGCCUUCCCAGAUCAUUAGCUUCUUAAAAAUCCCAGCUUUCUCUGAAUUCUGAUGGUAGCCCCCGUUAUUUGGACAAUUAUGUCCUGGUCUUAAAGUCCUAAUGGGAAAAAAAAGUACAUGAUGGACUUCAUGUAGAGAAGAAAGCACUGGACUGAGUUUUAAGACAGCUGCUAAGGAGCUGUGUGAGCCAAACCAGGUUACUUUACCUCUCUGGAUCUAUAUUUGCUGAUCUGUUAAGUGGAGACAAUUGGGUCAGAUAAUCUUGGUGGUCUUUGCUUAUUCUGAGGUUCUUGGACAACUUGGCCUAGUUCACGUGGGAUGGGAUUGAAGAUCUUACUGAGUUCUUGGAUGGAAAUGUCAGUAAUGGGCACUUAGUGCCUUCAGGACUUGUUCUAUACUAUCCCAGAAAUUUCUGAUGCUAAACUUGGCAAUUUUUAAAUGUCAUAUUCCUUUUCUCCAAACUCUUUAACCACAAGAAUUCAGGGAAGGUUAUGGGGGGUGACUUAGUUAUCUGGAUAAUACAUAUUGUGGACAAUAUAGCAUUAUCCUUGGGAAUGAUUUCAUAUUGUUGAAUAAAUAGGAUCAACUUCUUGAUAAACCUUAGUCCCAAGCAUUUCAUCUUCAUUGGAUAGUGUUACAUAGUAAUAUAUUUAUGUUUUCUUUUAAUCAUUUCAUAACUUGGAAAAUACUAACAUAGUCAAAACUCUAGGGUAGGUGAUACAUGAGUUUCUGUAGUAAUCUGGUUGGAGACAUGUUGUAAUUCUGUAUAUAUAUGUACAUUUAUCCCAUGCAUGUUAUGCCUAAACUAAGACGGAUACCCCUGAAUUAAGAGGUGCUGUUAUACAUUGACCAGGCUUAAGAAUAUCUCUUUAAAGUGUGUCGACAUUUAAUUGACCUUUGGAAGUUCAUUCUGUUAAUCAUACUCAAAGUGCUAAAGCUAUGGUUGACUGCUCUGGUGUUUUUAUAUUCAUUCGUGCUUUAGCAUAUAAAUUCUUCAGCAUAAUUGCUACUUAUUUAGCAAGAGUUUCCUUUAUUUGAAAAUGUGAGUUGUGCUUGUAUUUUUGUGUCUUUCUUUCUUUCUUUCUUUUUUUAAACUUUGCUUCAGGCUGGGUAGUGGUAGAGGUUUGAAUUAAAAUGUUUUCCUGUCAGUAGUUGUAUGAGGUGUGGCUUCUUAAUCUAGAAGUAAUGGAAAUUUCUUGCUUAAAUGAAGUGCACUUUUCUUCCUGCAGAAGUUAGAACUCUUUUAGACAAGCUUAACACUUCAAAACUGUAUAUCUUUAACAGAAACUUUUGGAAAUUUUUAAAUUCCAUUUGUGUAGAUUAAAAAUAUCAAUGCUAAUACUUUCUAUUAAAUAAGGAUUUAUCUAUUUUCAUAAAACCUCUAAUUAUAUUCCUUGAAUUGCUAUGAGUAGAAUUUUGUUGUAAACACAAUAUUUUUAAAAAGUCAAAUAUAUUUUAAAAAUCUUAACAUUAUAUUACUAUAACUUAGAGAACAGGUGUUUACAUGUUUAAAAUUUUCUAGGCCUUAAAUUUGUGAAAUCAGUCUUUCAGAAGUUAUUUUUAAUAUAGUUAUCUGUGUUACAGGUUUAUAAGUUGACAUUUCAAUUUAAAAUUUUUUCAAUUUAUAUUUCAAUGACCAGGAAAAAAUAGUUAAACUUAUUCCUAAAUUUUAAUAGAAAAAUAAAAAACCACAUAGUUGUUAAUUUCUGGUAAUUUAUCUUGAGACUCCAGGCAUGUUUUUAGAACAUUUUUACCUUAAAAGCAAUUUUGAAAUAGGGAAAUUAAAGUUUAAAGCAGAGUUUUCACUUUAAUGAGGUAAUUUUAUACUUCCCAGAUAGGUAGGCCCAUAUUCAAGAACACUCUGAUCUCUGUUUAUAGUAAGUUUUGAUGCCAUUAUAUCAUUUACUUAUUCACGCAUUAUAAGCAUAGUAGAUAGCCCCAUUGUCACGAAGCUGGCAUUAUUUUCUUGUCUGUCAUUCAAUAUUGUCCCCUUUUUUUUUUCUGUUUUCAUCAUAGCCGUCCUUUUCAUUUUAUUGUAGCCCUGACUCGAAAUGAAAGUAAGUUUGAACUCUUAAAAAAGAGUUCCUCAAACUCUUUUUUAAGAAUAUACAGUGAAAUGUCUUAAAUAAUAUUAUCUAAAUAAUACCUAAAGAAUGCAAAUGACUUGCAAUGCUGAAUAGUCAGACACAGGAUGUUCCAUGCUAAGGGUAGACUCAUAUUUCCACUUUAUAAAAUGUGGUUUCAGAAAACAAAUAGAUGUGUUUCUUCCUUAAUAAUUAGUGUUUCAGGACCAAAGUUGACUAAAUAUGGAAGUUUAAGAUAAAACCCGGUUUCUUAGGGAAUCUUUCUCAGUCCUUAGUAAUUCUGUAGAAUUGAUGAUAGAGUGGCAACUUCAAUACACUCAGUAUUCUUUUCUGUUUGAAGUCUGUUUUGCCAUUGGAAAAAACUUAUUGUUGUUUGAAUUUGGGUAUAUGUAUUCACAGAUGGUUUACUUUAUUUUUAUUUUGUUUAAACAAAUACUUUCAUGUCCCAAACACUGAGACAUGUUUCAUGUCCUAAACACUUUAUAAAUAUUAGAAUAUUUAAUCCCCUUAACUCUGUAGUUAUAAUUAUCUUCAUUUUACAAUUGAGAAAACUAAGAUACGACGUUUUAUUUAAUGGUAACGCCUUAAGUAAGGGGAGAGUGAUAAGUGUAAGCAGAGUGGAAAACUUAGUAGUGCUAAGGAGCAACAGAAGUAUGUGCAAGAGUUUGGGAAGAUGUGUCUGCUUGGAAAGGAUCAGGGACUCAGCUGGGAUCAGUCUUAAAGAGCAACAUGUCCUCAUUCCUCAAUUUUAAGCCUUUGGGCUCUAGAAGUAAAGGGCAAACUUAGAGGAGGCACUCCUCAGGUUUCAGCUGCCUGUUCCGGCCUGGUGAGGUGGCUGUACUGGCUCAUGUGUUUCUCAUAGGGCUACAUGAGCCUUUAUGUCUUACCUCCUCCUCAUUUCUUGGCUGACUCCUGCUUUUUUGGAGGGUUUAACUUCUCUCUCAGCUAGAAGGUUAGGCAUUGCAAAUACCAGUGGAUAAUUUUUUUCUUAGCUUUAACCCCAGCCCAUUUCAACCCCCUCUUUGCCCUUUGUAUAUUCUUUUGAAAAUAUGAUCCAGUAGUGUUUAUGAAUGUGUGUUGUGUAAAAUUUAGAGAUUGAUGUUAAACAACAGAAUUAAAGGACAAAGCUGUCUUUUUUGUUGGAAUUGGGGAUGGGAGAGCAGCUCAAAGUGGGAAAUAUGGAGAAAGGAGAGACAUUGUGGAAAAGAAGAGAUAAAUUGAGGGGAAAAAAAGAGGAUGAAAAAAUGAAGAGAGAGAAUUACUGAUGUGCUUCACACCCACACCUCCUCUCCAACUUCACAGUAACAGAGGCAAUGUCACUAUCUUUUACCUGACAAGUGCUUUACCAGGGAGUUGUGCCUGGCAUCGUGGGAGUGGAAAAUUUUUCCCUUUUGCAUUUUGAGACUUGGGUGUGCUGCUUUAAGAUGCCACUGGUAUCUAAGUAAUGUUUGUUUAUACUGGAUAUUUUUCUCUGUAGCCUUUGUGGAUUGGACUUAUAAUAUAAACAAUAUUGUUAGCAGAACUGCAGGUACUCUAUUGCUAUGUUUAUUUUAUUAGUUAAAAAACUACCAGAGCCCUAGGACUUCUGAGCACAUUUAGAAAAUACCAGAGGCAAUUUUAAGACUAGCAUUAGAAAGAAAGAAAAGAAUAAGAAUAAAACUAAGACUUGCAUACCUUAGAAUCCUAACCAAUGUGGUGAUUUUUAAAAAUUAAUGUUUCAGAGACUCUAAAUUAGGGUAGUUGGUUUCAUCAAUUACAUUUUUUAAGUUAAUAUAAAGUGCUUUUGUAUGUAAAUUCUCUUAAUAGAUAAUUUAGGUAAAAUGAAAGUGUGGCAUUUUUUGUUCCAUAGAAUGUAAAACUAACGUCAGAAUAAGAAUUCUUUUGGGAAUUUAGGAUUUUUUUGAUGCUUCUCAAAUCAUCUGUAAUGACUUUUAUUUAUAGAAAAGGUAGAUUAUUCAUUAGUUUUUAUGAAAAACACUCAGUUUAAAUAGCCGGGUAUGGUGGCGCAUGGCUGUAGUCCCAGCUACUCAGGAGGCUGGGCACGAGAAUUGCUUGAACCUGUGAGGCAGAGGUUGCAGUGAGCCAAGAUCGCACCACUGCACUCCAGCCUGGUCCAGAGUGAGAUUCCGUCUCGAACAAAACAAAACAAAAAUAUUGAGCUAAUCUAAAUGGUAAAAAUCUAGAUUUGAAGAAAUUUAUUUUAAAAUAGUUGUUCAUUUGUCAAAUAGAAAAGUAUGAUCUUAGCAGGUUUGGUUAGAUCCCUAUCUGAAACAAAGUAAACUAAAGAUGUUUUUCUUGAUCAAUGCAUAGCAAUAACUGCUGUUCAAACAUGUGAGGAAUCACCAGUAAAUUGGGGGAUAGAAAGCAGGAAAAGGAGCUUUUUUCUCUUAUUUUUUUUCAUUUAUCAGUUUUUCCCAUUUGUCCAUCCUUUCCUAUAAUCAUGGAAAUUUUUAUUUUUUACACUCCUCUCCCCAUUUUUUUAUCCUAGAUUGCCACCACACCAAGGUUUUCUAGAGUUAGGCAGAAAGAGAACCUGGGCCUAGAUGCUAAUGGAAACUAUCCCAUGCUUUCUCAGACUCUCUUUCCUCCCCAGAGACAAGAGGAGCAAAACAGGAGUUGAUGGCUCAUUGCUGUUGCUUCUGUGGCUGCCCUGUUUGGUUGACCUGAGCUUUUUUUAAAAACCUCCACUCUUGACGCUUAACUCUAUGAAUAAAAUUAGGGCCAGUCACACUGUAUUUUCAUCAUCAGUUAUCCCUAGUGAUUCAAAUUUAGCACAAACCUGCUGUGAGUACAUAUUAAUUAGGUGAAUACAGUAGAAUGCAAUCAUAACAUGAGUCUUUUAAUAACUAUUCUUUGUUUGAUUUUUAUUUUAGAAGUUUGAAGUUAUUUUGUUGAAAAUCUAGAAAAUCUUUAUGUGAGCAACUGAGGUUCGGGUAGCCCACAACAGUUUAAAUCAAACAUUAACUUGCAGUAAAACACUACUGAAAGUGUCUUUGAUUUUGAGGUGCAGAGAGCUGUUUCAAGUUAAGUUGCUAUAUUAGUCUGUUCUCAUGCUGCUAAUAAAGACAUACCUGCAACCGGGCAAUUUAUUAAAAAAAAAAAGAGGUUUAAUUGACUGACAGUUCCACAUGGCUGGGGAGGCCUCACCGUCAUGGUGAAAGAGCAAGGGAUGUCUUACAUGGUGGCAGGCAAGAAGUUUGUGCAGAGGAACUCCUGUUUAUAAAACCACCAGAUCUCAUGAGACUUACUCACUACCAGGAGAACAGGAUGCGGGAAACCACCUCGGUGAUUCAGUUAUCUGCACCUGGCCCCACCCUUGACACAUGUUGAUUAUUACAAUUCAAGGUGAGAUUUGGGUAGGUACACAGCCAAACCAUAUCAGCUGCCCAUUCUCCUGUGCAGUGACAUAAAGGUCUGAUAACCUGAUUUAAAGCUUGGACUCUAAGAUUUUUUUUUUUCUUUUUUUGAGUCAGGUUAUCUCUGUCGCUCAAGCUGGAGUUCAGUGGCAUGAACAGGGCUCAUUGCAGCCUCAACCUUCCAGGUUCAAGUGAUUCUCUUGCCUCAACCUCCUGAGUAUCUGGGGCUACAGGCAUGUGCCACCGUGCCAGGCUAAUAUUUUUAUUUUUAUUUUUGUAAAGAUGGGGUCUCACUUCUGGGCUCAAGCAAUCUUUCCUCAGCCUCCCAAAGUGCUGGGAUUAUAGGUGCGAGCCACUGCACCCUGCUGUAAAGAAUUUCAUAUCCCUGUUUUCGGUGUGCUGUGUCACUGUUUGCCAUGGGUAAAGGUAUAUGAAUCUCUUUUAUUUUGCUGCUUGCAACCCAAUUCCCAUGCCAAACCCAAUUUGUAUCCAAACAAACAAUAUUGGAGACAAGUUCUUCUAUAGAAAGCUUCAUAAGCCAGUUACUGACUACUGUGUCUGUAAAUAUACUCAAACUAUUUUGUAGUCUUGCUAUUUUAAAAAAUGUGUGGGUGUGGGAAGUGAUGUUGAAUGAAUUCAGGGUAAUUGGUGGUUCUUUGUAUUAGGAAAACUCACUAGUUAAGGGAAGUCUGUUUUCAUGAUUCAUGUAUGUUUAACUUAAAAAAAAAUUCUUCCAUCCUUCUCUCCAGUUUCCACUCUACCUCAUAAAUUCAAGUAAUGAAGGAAUUUAAAUAAUAGAAUUUUAUAACUGAAAGGAUUUUGGAGAGAAUCUAUUAACCCUCCUACUACAGUUGAGGAAAUAGAUGUCCAGUGAGGUCAAAUGAGAUCAUGUAGCUAGUUUAAAAACCCAAAUAACAUUUUAGUAGUUUGUUUCCAUUAGUAAACACUGUUCUGUUUGAUUUGCCCUAACAUGUUCAUAAUCAGAGUCAUAAUAAGGAAAAAUCACUAAUAUGUGUGUGGUACUUUCUUGUGCAUACCUCAGUCACUUCUCAAAAGAGGUCUGUAAGGUGUCGGUAUCCUGGUUUCCAUUCAGGGAGAGAACAGUCUAUGAGCCUAAGAGACCUGUCUGUGCCAGUCACUAUCAGAACAGUCUAAUGCUAUGUGUCUUCCUACCUUGGCAAAAGCAUUGGCUGGUCUCUGGACAGUUCUCAUAGACCACAGGAUUGGGCAGGGGGGAGCCACAUCUUCAUGUUAGGGCUCUAACCUGUACCAAUUAUUAACUGUUGUCUCUAUUUCAUCAUUUCUUAAAGGGAAAAAAAAGCACUUUUUAAAGAGCAUGAGAUUUUAAAUUUUUCAAAAGAAGGAUGCUGGAUCAUUAUAAGUAAGGCAUGUUUUAAAGAUCUUCUUAUCAACAGCUUAAAAAUUAGCCAGUAUAUACUGAACAUCCACUGUAUAAAAAGCACAUUAUGGGGUGCUCCAGUAGGUACAGCAGUGAUCGAGACAGAAUCAUAGCCUUCAGGGAAGAGGUAUAUGCAAUGUUCUCUCCUUCCAAAGAUUACCUAGAUAGAGAACUGUUCAUAAGAAAUAUCUUGGUACUGUCUACAUUACUCUUGAGAUAUAAAAUAUAUAUUAUUUCUUACGUCUGAAAUGAGUCAGUUGUUUCUAAAACAAUUUGUAUUAAAGUAUUCACAUUAAAAAUUUGUAAAAUACAGAAAAGUAGAGAGAAAAAAUCAUGAAUUUUUAACAUGGUAAUGAUUAUAUCAGUUUCGUUCUUGGCGUUUCUUUAACUUGAUGGGAUAGCUAAUGUUUUUUGUCAUUGCAUAGCUUUGUAAACUUGUCCUAAGGAUUAUAUAAUUUCAGCAUGAGUUAGUUUCUAAGUAUGUCAGAAAUCUAGCUUUUUUGUGGUAAUUGUUGUUUUACACAAAAUGAUUAAUAAAAGACUCUAAACUAACCUUGGCUUUAGAAAUGCUUUUUAAAUUUUAAAAUAGUGAAUGAGUAGCAGAUUACUUUCUAGUAUUUCUUUAAGGUCACCAAAAUCACUUAACUUGCUUAAAAUAUUGAUGGAAAUAUCAACUACGUACAGUUGACCUAAAUUAGAAAUGGGUGUUUUUUAAAUAGUGAAAUUUAUAAAUAUAAUAUGUAUAUUUUAAAAUACAGUUUAUAUUAUAGAGUUAUGUUCCUCUGUAAUAAUUUCUCUUUACACUGAAUCAUGUUCAGUUUUUAUUAUGCAGAUAAUUUAAUCUUACAGCUUUGAUCUUUUUUAAAAAAUAAAACAGCCAUUUGGAGUCUAAAUUCAGCCAUGUGAUUAUUACAAUGAAAUUCAUCUUAAAUCUACCUAAUGUCCCUUUAGAUAUAAGACCUAUUUCAAUAGAAGGGCGUUUCUUGGUUAGGGUUGCUCUUCCCGAGAGGAGUCUCCUGGAGCAGGAGCCCCUGGGGAGGAGUGAACUGAGCCAGCAGGUGGUCUAAGGGAGGUGCCAGGGAACUGCUGACAGUGACUUGCCUGAAGGAAGGGAGGGAGCAGGAUGGGAGUGGGGUGGAAAGUCCCUUAUUAGCCUGGAGGCUGGGAUGCCCUGACCCUCUGGAAUCCCCCUCCCUUGUAAGAAUGCCAGCCAAAGUAGGAAGGAGGAGCUCCAGCCAGAUGGGGGUCCCAGUGCAGGAGGAAGAUAGUAGGGUGACCACAACCAAAAAAGCUGUCUGACAGGCUUUGAGAUCUCUUGUCUGAGGAACUCCGGCAUAGAUAGUAAGUCAGUAUUCACUUAGAGGAGAGUUUGGCAAGUGAAUAUAUAUGAUGAAUGAAUGAGUAACUGAAUGAACUGCUUUAUCACCAAAGGAUCUGGAUAUUUGUUUCUACUCUCAAACAUUUUUUGAUUUGUUAACUUUUUAUGCCCAAUUUUAAAAGAAAAUGCAAUUUUCAUUGAACUAUGAUUGACUACUUCAUAUUUAUUGAAACCCACACCCUCCAGUACUCCACAAAUGAUUCAGAAAAGCUUACAAUAAAAAAAAUCAGAAUAGAAAAGUGAGUAACGGAUGUGAUUUCAAUUCUCCAAGCCUGUUGUCCUUAUCUGUGAUGGUAAUGAUUAUAGAUGCCUUAUCUUGCUGUGGCAGGGAUGAAAUGAGAUCAUGUGCAGGCAUUAUUUGUCAUACAACAAAUACAUAGUUGAGGUUGUAUUAAAAUUAAGGCUUUAAACUUGAGUACAUACACUUUUGCUUAAUUCUCAAUUUAUUUUUCAUUACCAUUUUAUCAGAGAAUGAUAUUUAAGCGAUACUCAUUUCUAGAGUAGAAGAGAUUUUAUUCCUUAUAACUGUAAACUCUAUACUAUCCAAGAUAAUACUCUUCUUCCUAGAAUUUGAAUUCGUUAACAAUCUUUCACAUUUUCACAAUCCAUGGGAAAUCACUCCCAGUAAAUGCUUACAGCAUUCGUCCACUUUCAUGAGGCAAGGAGUAGGUAGGUCUGUAUUUGUAUUAAUUACAAAGAAAUUCAAGGGAAGGUUCAUCAUUAUCAUCGUUAGCAGGAAAUAUAAUGAAUUAGAAGCCCUUGAAUUGGACUAAAAGAGUGUGGAGUAUGUGUAAAAGAAUGAAUCAGAGAAGGUAAAGAUUAAUUUUAAAGGGCAGAAUUUUGUUUGUACAUUUAGGUCACUUCAAUUUCAGAUCAGUUCUAUGUAUGCUUUCUAGAAAAGAUAUCAAAGACCACCUAGAUUUCUUGCCUUUAGGUGUGUUUUACCAAAGGAACAAGACAGAAGAUGAAUGCCAAAACUAUUAAUGCAGCUACCCUGGACACUAAGCCCCCAAAGAGAUGGAGGAUUGGAGGAUGUAGAGCCUGGGCACUGGGUCCAGUGCUGACAUGGAACAUGUUCAUUCUUAGAGUUUCACUGCAAACACUCCAAGGAUAGAGAGCGAGAAGGUUAUGUGGACAUGAGAGGAGAAGGGUGGAAGAGGAUUGAAUGGUUCAGGGUAGCUAAAAAAAAUUUUUACACUUUAUCUCGGGCUGCUUCUAAACCCUCCACCAGAAAGAAUUAAUCCUGCAAGCACUUAAAACAAAACUGAUGUGAGGAAGAUAAUAAAACCUGUCCAGGGUACAGACAUCCAGAUUUGCAAUUUAGGGUGGGAAGACUUUAGAGACCUUGUCUAACAGGGCUAAAGAGUAUCCUUAUGGUUUUAAAGUAGGUACAUUGUUUUUUGUAAGCAUUUCUAGGGUUAUAUAAGACAAAUCAGAGUCUGAUGUAUUGAACACAAUUGGAUCUUAUUCUGCCAUAUUUGUUUUUAAUUCACGAUUUUUAAAUGGAUUUACUGGUCAUAUUUCUCAGGUCAUGGCAAGAUUUUUUAGUCUUAAACUUAUUUAGCUCAGUCCUUCUAGAUCAAUGGUUCUCUGCCCUGAAGGUGUAGCAAAAUUGUUUGAUAGCUUUUGCAAAAUUUACAUACCCAGCAGCCUCCCCAUCAGCUGAAUAAGAAUUGCAAUGUGGAUGUGGCAGAGGCAAUCAGGUAUGUGGGGUUAGAAGAAGCUGUCCUGGUCAUUCUGUUGCCACCCUCUCACUUGGAGAAUUGCUGAUCCAAUGAAUUCCUUAACAUAACUUUGAAAACACAGCGUUUUGCUCAGAACUUCAUGAAUAAACAUCAAAUUUUCACUAAACAAAAUAAUUAAAGACCAUAAGAUCUUAGUUAUAAUACUUCAUAAAUGGAAAAGCACUUUAUUGCCUGUAUGUAUGUGGGCUCCUCUUUUAGCAAGAUAUGAGCUAGGUGAAGUCUAUGUGAAAGCUAAAGCAGAUUUAUUCCAGUCAGAUGCCAGACAAUUUUACCAGUUUAACUGAGACUCAUUAUUACUUAAACUACAUGCUUGUUUUUUUGGUUACUGAGUAGUAUAGGUCCCACUUGGAUCAGCAAUUCUCAAAGUGAGAGGGUGGCAAUAGAAUUAUUUAAGUAAUUAUUUGUUAUUUGAGGUUGUUUGCUUAGUAUUUACUUGUCACUGUUUUACAUGUUAUUUAAUAAUUUACAGUUAUUUAAAAGUGGUAAGAUUCCAAGGCAAGUAGGGGACCUGUCACUUUGAGAAAAAUUUAUGGUGGUAAAAAUAUUUUCUUUUUGUAAAGAGUCACUGAUAUACAAUGUCCCCCCAGGGUGUAAGCCUUGGUAUUUAUCUAUUUUAAUUAAAGAGUACUCUGCCUGUCUAGUCGUGGCUAACUUAAAAGAAGUGGGUAUCUUGGUGAGAAGUUCACAAGGUUGGUAGCCAUAGCUGAGUUUGGUGGAUUGACUCAAGCUCUAGUCAGCAGUGGUAUAUGAAUGCCAAGUACUAAGAAUUUCUGGAAUGUAGAAUUGCACAGCACUGAUAAAGUUUGCUUUGUUCCCCUGUGUGACUUGACCCAUUGAGAAAACUGGUUCCCUAGGAAGUUUUAAUAGUUCAAAGUCCUUAGUUAAUAAAGAAAAAGGCCACAACAUAAUUCAGCUUGUUUUCACCUGCUGACUCAAAGAUUAACUUUUUUAACCUUAAUGGGAUAGAGUUACCCUUUGCUUUGAGAAAGUAAUUUAUGGAGUUCUUCAUAUUUGUUAGUUUCAGUAAACAUGAUGCUUUUUGUGUGGAUUUUAUUUUUGUUUCGGGUUUGAGAUCACAAACUACUAAGACUUACACAAUUUAAGAACCUUACGGUAACUUCAUCUAAAAACAAAUCUCAGGGAAAGGCACACCCACUUUUCUGUAUCAACUUAAUCUUUCACUAGAUUCAGAAUGGUUUUGAAUUACUUCAGGAAAGUAGUGACUGAUAGAGCUUAACCUUCAGUUUUCCUCAUUUAUUUUCAUAAGAGAAUGGGAGUGGAAUUCAAAACAUUCAAAUUUGGAGUUAAUGUGCGUCACUGUUGUGAGUGAUAGGUUCUGUGUUUUUCCAGUGGGAAACUUUGAUCCACAUACUGAUAUAUGCCUGUGUUAUACCUCGUUAUUCUUUUCUGUUUUUCUCCUGAUUGUUGCUUACUCUUUCAAAAAUCAGCUGACUGUACAAGUCCUCUCUGGGAGCAGACUUUAGAGCAAAAGUGAUCUAUAAAAGCAGCAUGUAAGUCUUUUUUUUUUUUGUCAGAGUUUAUAACUUUCCAAGUAGACCUUUUAUAUUUUCACGGUAGUCUAAGUUCACUCAACUGCAGUAUUUGAUGUUAAAUGUACGCUUUACGCUGUUAAGAUAAUUUAGUUUCUGUGUUUGGUCACUUUUGCUUAAAGGAUUGUAAUUACAUAAUGCAUGUUGAAAUCAUAUUAAGUAACCUGGCCACUUGCCUAUUUACUUCUUGUGGCUAACAAUAAUGAAUGAAACCAUUUAUAUAUGUUGUUUUAGUAUAUCACAAAAUUUUAUAGAAACUAGAAGCUCGGUGAUGAAUAAUAGACAUCCAUGAGCCUUCUUAUUUGUUUUGAAUUUGAGACAUUUUCUAGAAUAUUGCUGUUUGAAUGAGGCUUCAGUACUUUACAGAAUCGUUGCCUGCACAUCUUGGAAACACUUGCUGGGAUUACUUCUUCAGGUUAACCCAACAGAAGGCUAAAGAAGGUAUAUUGCUGUUGACAGUGAGCGACUGUAAACAUCCUCGACUGGAAGCUGUGAAGCCACAGAUGGGCUUUCAGUCGGAUGUUUGCAGCUGCCUACUGCCUCGGACUUCAAGGGGCUACUUUAGGAGCAAUUAUCUUGUUUACUAAAACUGAAUACCUUGCUAUCUCUUUGAUACAUUUUUACAAAGCUGAAUUAAAAUGGUAUAAAUUAAAUCA
RNAcentral lists this long non-coding RNA (15978 nucleotides) under Homo sapiens (human). RNAcentral's name for it is "HSALNT0335030". The stretch from base 15782 to 15858 matches the Rfam family "mir-30 microRNA precursor family". The record is from RNAcentral. Lineage: Eukaryota; Metazoa; Chordata; Mammalia; Primates; Hominidae.